This 351-nucleotide ribosomal RNA is filed under the name uncultured bacterium. Its description in RNAcentral is "bacterial SSU rRNA". It matches the Rfam family "Bacterial small subunit ribosomal RNA", at positions 28 to 355 of the family's 1533-position model. The record is from RNAcentral.
GACGAACGCUGGCGGCGUGCUUAACACAUGCAAGUCGAACGAGAGGACAAGAGAAGCUUGCUUCUUUUGGAAUCGAGUGGCAAACGGGUGAGUAACACGUAAACAACCUGCCUUCAGGAUGGGGACAACAGACGGAAACGACUGCUAAUACCGAAUACGCUUGGAAGACCGCAUGAUUUCCAAGGAAAGGGUGGCCUCUACCUGUAAGCUAUCGCCUGAAGAGGGGUUUGCGUCUGAUUAGCUGGUUGGAGGGUAACGGCCCACCAAGUCGACGAUCGGUAGCCGGACUGAGAGGUUGAUCGGCCACAUUGGGACUGAGACACGGCCCAGACUCCUACGGGAGGCAGCAGU